RNAcentral lists this ribosomal RNA (182 nucleotides) under Escherichia coli. RNAcentral describes it as "partial 16S ribosomal RNA". It matches the Rfam family "Bacterial small subunit ribosomal RNA", at positions 1 to 176 of the family's 1533-position model. The record is from RNAcentral. Lineage: Bacteria; Pseudomonadati; Pseudomonadota; Gammaproteobacteria; Enterobacterales; Enterobacteriaceae.
AAAUUGAAGAGUUUGAUCAUGGCUCAGAUUGAACGCUGGCGGCAGGCCUAACACAUGCAAGUCGAACGGUAACAGGGAUCAGCUUGCUGAUUCGCUGACGAGUGGCGGACGGGUGAGUAAUGUCUGGGAAACUGCCUGAUGGAGGGGGAUAACUACUGGAAACGGUAGCUAAUACCGCAUAA